AUGCCACGCACACCAUCUCAUGUGUGGAUACAUUUCCGCUCAGCCAAUCUGGAAGGAAAGGCUGUGUACAGUUGCAAAUACUGUGCAAAGACCUAUGUUAAGAAUGCCACAAAGAUGCAGCAGCAUAUAGCCAAGUGCCCAAAGUUUUCCCAGAGCUCAAAACAAGCAACACCAGACAAGAGUUCAUCAGCUUCCAUCCGAUGUGAAAAUGAUUCAGAUUCAGACACCCUCUCGUCAGCUCCCGGUCACUCUGGAAUCGGAGGAUUGUUUGACUCCAUGGAUGAACGGAGCCAGAGAAAUGCUGAUGAAUGUUUCGCUCGAGCAAUGUAUGCAACUGGCUCACCUCUGAUGCUCACAUCCAAUGUCUAUUGGAAAAGAUUCCUGAAUGUCCUUCGCCCCGCAUACACACCUUCCACCAGUCAUGCUUUAUCUACUCAUUUGCUGGAUGGAGAGUUCAACAGAGUGCAAGCAAAGGUCAAGCAAACUAUUGACAAAGCAGAGUGCAUUUCCGUCAUCUCUGAUGGGUGGUCGAAUGUCCGGGAACAAGGAAUCAUCAACUACAUUGUCACCACCCCUCAACCAGUAUUCUAUAAGACCACAGACACAAAGCACAACAGACACACAGGAUCCUACAUUGCUGAUGAGCUGAAAGCAGUCAUCAGUGAUCUUGGAUCUGAGAAGGUUUGUGCACUUGUAACUGACAAUGCUGCAAACAUGAAGGUUGCUUGGGCACACGUGAAGGAGACCUACCCUCACAUAACAACAAUUGGCUGUGCUGCCCAUGCUCUUAAUCGUCUCCUUAAGGACAUCAUGGCACUGAAUACAAUGAACACACUGUAUAAGACAGCGAAGCAAGUCGUGAAAUAUGUGAAGGGCAAACAGGUAGCUUCAGCAAUCUACCUCUCUAAGCAAAAAGAAAAAAACAAGAACGCCACACUGAAGCUCCCCAGCAUCACUCGAUGGAGUGGGGUUGUCCUCAUGUACCACAGUCUGCUAGAGGGGAAGGAGUCUUUGCAAGAGAUGGCCAUAUCCCAAACUGCAGCCAUUGAAAGUGCCAUCAAGAGAAUCCUGUUAGAUGAUAUGUUCUGGGAAAAAGUGACUGGCAGCCUGAGAAUCCUCAAACCAAUAGCAGCAGCUAUUGCCAAGAUAGAAGGGGAUACUGCCAUCUUGUCAGAUGUUAAAUAUCUGUUUGCUGAGCUCAAAGAAGAAAUGCAAACUGUCCUGCCCGCCUCCCUGCUGCUUCAAGCAGAGGAAACUGCAGUGGUCAAGUCCCUGGAGAAGCACCAAGAGUUCUGCACCAAACCAAUACAUGCAGCAGCAUACAUGCUGGACCCAAAGUAUGAGAAAAGCAUACUCUCUGCUGAAGAGAUCCGCAGUGCUUACACUGUUAUUACUGCCUUGUCUCACCGUCUUGGGCUUGAUGAAGGCAAAGUUCUCGGCAGUCUAGCAAAGUACCGUACCAAGCAAGGUCUUUGGGAAUGGGAUGGGAUAUGGCAGUCGUGCCAGCACAUAUCUGCAUCUACCUGGUGGAAAGGACUUUGUGGAUCUGAGGCCCUUGCACCUGUAGCAUCUAUCAUCCUUCAAAUCCCACCAACAUCAGCCGCCUCUGAGUGCAGCUGGUCACUGUUGGGGAACACGCACACAAAGGUUCGCAACAGGCUCACGAAUGCAAGGGAGGAGAAACUGGUGGCCAUCCGAGCAAACCUACGGCUCUUUGAGCCUGACACAGAGCCAUCCUGGACAAGGCUGGACAGUGACACCGAAGAUGAAGAGGAGUCAGACAUGGAGGAUGUUAAUGAGGUCCAGGAAGAAGCCAAUGAGACCUGA
Long non-coding RNA from Cyprinus carpio (common carp), 1827 nucleotides. The record is from Ensembl. NCBI's taxonomy places the organism in Eukaryota, Metazoa, Chordata, Actinopteri, Cypriniformes, Cyprinidae.